GUAGGUGAACCUGCGGAAGGAUCAUUCUCGCGAUCCCUGAGGGGGACAACCUGUGCACAUGUUGCUGUUCUCGUGGUUCUCUUGAGGAUGUCCCGAAGGGACUCCUCCCAACUAGGCUCUUCCGUAAGGAAGAGCUGAGUAGGUUCUUUCUGAGUAGGCUCUUCCGUAAGGAAGAGCUGGAAGGAACUUUCUGAGUAGGCUCUUCCAAGUAGGCUCUUCCGUAAGGAAGAGCUGAAAGGAAUUCUCCAAG
This 250-nucleotide unclassified non-coding RNA is filed under the name plant metagenome. RNAcentral describes it as "partial contains small subunit ribosomal RNA, internal transcribed spacer 1, and 5.8S ribosomal RNA". The record is from RNAcentral.